This 497-nucleotide ribosomal RNA is filed under the name uncultured bacterium. Its description in RNAcentral is "partial 16S ribosomal RNA". It matches the Rfam family "Bacterial small subunit ribosomal RNA", at positions 28 to 507 of the family's 1533-position model. The record is from RNAcentral.
GACGAACGCUGGCGGCGUGCCUAAUACAUGCAAGUUGAGCGCUGAAGGUUGGUACUUGUACCAACUGGAUGAGCAGCAAACGGGUGAGUAACGCGUGGGGAAUCUGCCUUUGAGCGGGGGACAACAUUUGGAAACGAAUGCUAAUACCGCAUAAAAACUUUAAACACAAGUUUUAAGUUUGAAAGAUGCAAUUGCAUCACUCAAAGAUGAUCCCGCGUUGUAUUAGCUAGUUGGUGAGGUAAAGGCUCACCAAGGCGAUGAUACAUAGCCGACCUGAGAGGGUGAUCGGCCACAUUGGGACUGAGACACGGCCCAAACUCCUACGGGAGGCAGCAGUAGGGAAUCUUCGGCAAUGGACGAAAGUCUGACCGAGCAACGCCGCGUGAGUGGAGAAGGUUUUCGGAUCGUAAAACUCUGUUGGUAGAGAAGAACGUUGGUGAGAGUGGAAAGCUCAUCAAGUGACGGUAACUACCCAGAAAGGGACGGCUAACUACGUG